Molecule: long non-coding RNA, 445 nt
Organism: Symphalangus syndactylus (siamang)
Lineage: Eukaryota; Metazoa; Chordata; Mammalia; Primates; Hylobatidae
Source: RefSeq, a predicted model, not a curated record
GCUACUUAAAGUUGUGGUCUUUGGACCAUGGGCAUCAGCAUCACCUGGAGUUUGUUAGACACACGACAUCGCAGGCCCCACUCCAGAUCUGCUGCCUCAGGAUCUGCAUUGGAACAGGAUUGGCAUCCCCAGAAUGCUGGUUCCUGAAAAUAUCUCCAAAACAAUCUGUUGAAAAGAUAAACCUCAGUUUACCCUUCUGCAAGUAAGUGUGGCCCUUGCUACGGAGAAAUGACAAUGAAUGAACUACAAUGACACACAACAACAACACGGUUGGAUCUUCCACAUAUAUCACUAAGCCAAAAAGAGCAAAACCAAAAGAAAAAUCUCCAAUAUGAUUCCACUGGCAUAAGUUUUGAAAGCAGACAAAGUUAUAGUUUGAGGAUCCACUCUUUGGUGGUGAAACUAUUAAAGAAAACAAGGAAAUGGUUACCAUAAAUAUCAGGAG